Long non-coding RNA from Fukomys damarensis (Damara mole-rat), 1773 nucleotides. RefSeq lists it as uncharacterized. Lineage: Eukaryota; Metazoa; Chordata; Mammalia; Rodentia; Bathyergidae. The transcript is spliced from 8 exons. The record is from RefSeq and is a predicted model, not a curated record.
AGCGAUUGAACUCCGGCCCUGGCGCUGGCGAGGCGGGCGGCGGAACCACUGAGCCAAAGCCCUGGUCCCCACCGCGGAUCCUUUAGGUUGUGCACUCGGUGAGGCGCGGUGCCUGUUUGGCUGUGAACCUCGCUCCCGGCUUUCCUCGGCCUCUGCCCUAGGGUGAGCGUACGAACUAAGAUGGCGGCGUUCGUGUGCUUCUGUGCUUACCGCAGUUGGCAAGGCCGCUACAGGAUAACUCUGCUAACGAGUGUUCAAGAAACUCGCCGGUUUAUGUGUGUGCCAGUGAGCCAGAACAUCCCAAGGCAAUUAGAGAACACAUAAUCUCCAGUAGGAAUGGUCUGCACCCUCUUUCACCUGGAAGAAGAAGCUAUAGAAGAUAGAAGAUCCUUGCACAGAGUCACCAAAGAGUUCCCACGUGGACUUCUAAUGAGAACUCUAGCAGCUUGUCUGGUGUGCUCCUUCCCGGCUGUUUCUCAUGGCUGUUGAGCUCCUCGGAGCAGUUGGUUUCCUGCACAUCUAACAUGGAGAUUCAAUGGCUCCCAACCACUCUGGGCACUGCACUCCCACCCAUGCUCAGUGCUAUGCUCCAGCUCUUGCAGCUGCCAUGGAGAUGGACCUUCCCCACUGGUCAUGACAGUAAGGAGGCAUUCAUGGAUAAGAGCACAGCUUUAACACUGUAGUAAACCAUCAUGAAGUGCUUGUUAUUUAAUCUACCUAUUUAUUUCCAAUUGAAUAACUAACAGCAUAAUUCUGUUAAAUGGAGUAGCAGAACAAAGAGAAACAAAUCUGGAGCCAAGUGGGGCUCUUCAUUCUGAUGGGAGAAAAAGACAACCAGGUAACUGCAGUGAAUUUAUUUAUAGUGGUAGAGAUAAGGGAACUGCAGGGGGAGGUAAAAGGGGCUGGUCUGUAGCCAGAGUCAGGACAGUAACUAAGGUCUGCAUAACAUCAUGCUUUGAUGUUUUGUUGUUGUCAUUGUUCCAGGGUUUGAACUCAGGACCUUGCACUUGUGAGGCAGGUGCUGGCACCACUGAGCUAAAUCCCUGGCCAUAUACUUAUAUGUUUUUAUGGGGAAUGGAUCGUGAGGAAGACAUCUUUUGUUUCUCUUUUCUUUGUUUUUUCUUAAUCCCCCACAACCAUGAUUCUCACUCAUGGAUCCUUCAGCCACGCUGGCCAUGGCAAUUGGUGCCUGAAACAGACAGUAUGAGAAUAAGAGAGGAAAACAGUCCAGAGUAAAAGAGAAGUUCAAAAUACAGACUUAUGACAAUAACUAUAACACAAGAUUAUGCUACUUUCUAUUAAUAGCUUGUUAUAAAAGAUUGCACUUACAGUAAAGUCCAGAGAUCUGCACUGGAAAGGCAACUGGGCUAAUAAGACAGCCAAUAUUUUGGCCCUGGACCUCCAAGGUCAACAAAGAUCCAGGACAUGAAGGAUCCUUUUCUAUAUUUUUGGAGGAGUUAGAUCCAGUGGGAGAUGAGCCAUGGAAUGCAAAAUCACAGAAGCAAGUGAAGAUUUUGGGCUACUGGAGUCUCCUCUAAGAGGUGACUUUUAGGCCCUUUCAGUCCUGGACAAAAAACUGAAUGAAAGAAGCACAAACCGUGGUAAAAUUUCUCAUUUAUUAAAUGUGUGUGUGGGGGGAAUCAGAUGGCUACAUACUGGAGGAUGAUUUAUUUACAGAGCACCUUGACUACCACUAUUGCCUUUUCUGAACAAGUAGGAAAGGCUUCAAUCCAGCCUGUAAAGGUUUCAAUUAGGAUUGAUAUCUGUUUAAAU